GCCCGUCCACGGGGCUGCUCGCGCGACAGGAGCCGCCGCCGCCUCUGCCCCGCGCCCUUCCUCGCGCAGGUCCUCCCCGUCCGCUCCGGGAGCACUUCCAGUUGCAGGACGCCAUGCAGCACCCUGCAGAGUCAACACCAAGAUGGCUGAGAAGUUGCUGCAGUGGUUCCCGGAGGAGGGCGAGCAGGAGUGCUUCGCAGCCUCUCCCUUCACCUGCUACAACCUGCUUCCCCGAAUGUGAUGUUGGAGCUGGCCUGGAGGCACAACCUGGUAGACCUGGCCAUGACCUGCUUCACCCAGGUGAUGAGGGAGGACCUUAGCCAAGUUGAUGAGCUGUUUAAUGAGGUGACAGUGUCUAAUUUCAACUCCAUGUGUGUCAAAGCCCUAGGAGUCACUGUCUAGGCCAGUGAUGGCAAACCUAUGACACGCGUGUCAGAGGUGACACGCGAACUCAUUUUUUUGGUUGAUUUU
Long non-coding RNA from Myotis lucifugus (little brown bat), 471 nucleotides. RefSeq lists it as uncharacterized. The record is from RefSeq and is a predicted model, not a curated record. Lineage: Eukaryota; Metazoa; Chordata; Mammalia; Chiroptera; Vespertilionidae. The transcript is spliced from 3 exons.